GCCAGGCUACCCUGCGGUCACAUGCUCCUCCUGUCCUUCUGGCGGAGCGUGCUUCCCGCUGCGGGGACGUUCGAGCAAUGGCAGCCCUGCUGAGAUCCGCGCGUUGGUUGCUGCGUGCCGGGGCGGCCCCGCGCCUCCCGCUCUCCCUGCGCCUCCUCCCUGGCGGCCCGGGCCGGCUGCAUGCCGCCUCCUAUCUGCCCGCCGCUCGCGCCGGGCCCGUGGCCGGAGGACUACUGAGCCCAGCCAGGCUGUAUGCCAUUGCUGCCAAAGAAAAAGAUAUUCAAGAGGAGUCCACUUUUUCUUCUAGGAAGAUUUCCAAUCAAUUUGAUUGGGCUCUAAUGAGACUAGAUCUUUCUGUUCGAAGAACUGGCCGCAUUCCAAAGAAGCUUCUACAAAAAGUUUUUAAUGAUACCUGCCGCUCAGGUGGCCUAGGUGGUAGUCAUGCCUUGCUUCUACUACGUAGUUGUGGUUCUCUCUUGCCUGAACUAAAGGUUGAAGAGAGAACAGAAUUUGCUCAUAGGAUAUGGGACACACUUCAGAAAUUAGGUGCUGUGUAUGAUGUGAGUCACUAUAAUGCUUUACUUAAAGUCUAUCUUCAAAAUGAAUAUAAAUUCUCACCAACUGAUUUCCUGGCAAAAAUGGAGGAAGCAAACAUUCAACCAAAUCGAGUGACAUACCAGAGAUUGAUUGCUUCUUAUUGUAAUGUAGGAGAUAUUGAAGGUGCCAGCAAGAUUCUUGGAUUUAUGAAAACUAAGGAUCUCCCAGUUACAGAGGCAGUAUUCAGUGCCCUUGUGACAGGGCAUGCCAGAGCUGGUGAUAUGGAGAAUGCAGAAAACAUUCUCACAGUGAUGAGAGAUGCCGGAAUUGAGCCUGGUCCAGACACAUACCUCGCAUUAUUGAAUGCAUAUGCUGAGAAGGGCGACAUUGACCAUGUUAAGCAGACGCUGGAGAAGGUGGAGAAGUCCGAGCUUCACCUUAUGGACCGUGAUUUACUGCAAAUUAUUUUUAGCUUCAGUAAAGCUGGGUAUCCUCAGUACGUCUCAGAAAUUUUGGAAAAAGUUACAUGUGAAAGAAGAUAUAUUCCAGAUGCAAUGAACCUUAUUUUACUUUUAGUCACUGAAAAAUUGGAAGAUGUAGCGUUGCAAAUUUUACUAGCAUGCCCUGUAUCAAAGGAAGAUGGCCCAAGUGUCUUUGGCAGUUUCUUUUUACAACACUGUGUGACUAUGAAUACGCCUGUGGAGAAGCUAACAGACUACUGUAAGAAGUUAAAGGAAGUCCAGAUGCACUCCUUUCCUCUGCAGUUCACCCUCCAUUGUGCUUUACUCGCCAAUAAAACUGAUUUGGCAAAAGCCUUAAUGAAGGCUGUGAAGGAGGAAGGUUUUCCUAUCAGACCUCACUAUUUCUGGCCAUUGCUAGUUGGACGUCGGAAGGAAAAAAAUGUUCAAGGUAUAAUUGAAAUCCUCAAAGGAAUGCAAGAAUUGGGAGUACAUCCUGAUCAGGAAACAUAUACAGAUUAUGUGAUUCCAUGCUUUGAUAGUGUAAACUCAGCACGUGCCAUUUUGCAGGAAAAUGGAUGUCUGUCUGAUAGUGAUAUGUUUUCUCAAGCUGGAUUGAGAAGUGAAGCAGCAAAUGGGAACUUAGACUUUGUAUUAUCAUUUUUGAAAUCAAAUACAUUGCCUAUCUCGCUGCAGUCUAUAAGAAGUAGCCUACUGCUAGGCUUCAGGAGGUCUAUGAAUAUAAAUCUUUGGAGCGAGAUAACAGAAUUGUUGUACAAGGAUGGACGUUAUUGCCAGGAGCCUCGAGGACCAACGGAAGCUGUUGGCUAUUUUCUUUAUAACUUGAUUGACAGCAUGAGUGACUCAGAGGUACAGGCCAAGGAGGAGCAUUUGAGACAAUACUUCCAUCAGCUGGAGAAGAUGAAUGUAAAAAUUCCUGAAAAUAUCUACAGAGGCAUUCGUAAUCUCCUGGAAAGCUACCAUGUUCCUGAAUUGAUUAAGGAUGCUCACUUGUUGGUUGAGAGUAAGAAUUUAGACUUUCAAAAAACUGUGCAACUUACGUCAUCUGAAUUGGAGUCCACACUUGAAACACUAAAAGCUGAAAAUCAACCUAUAAGAGAUGUCCUAAAGCAACUUAUAUUAGUGCUUUGUUCAGAAGAGAAUAUGCAAAAAGCCCUUGAAUUGAAAGCAAAAUAUGAAUCCGACAUGGUUACUGGUGGCUAUGCAGCUUUAAUAAAUUUAUGCUGUCGACAUGAUAAAGUAGAAGAUGCCUUGAACUUGAAAGAAGAACUUGACCGCUUAGAUUCAUCUGCUGUCCUUGACACCGGCAAGUAUGUAGGCCUUGUAAGAGUAUUGGCAAAGCAUGGCAAGCUCCAAGAUGCUAUUAACAUUCUGAAGGAGAUGAAAGAGAAGGAUGUUCUUAUCAAAGAUACAACAGCCUUGUCCUUUUUCCACAUGCUAAAUGGCGCAGCUUUAAGAGGUGAAAUUGAAACAGUAAAACAGUUGCAUGAAGCCAUCGUGACUCUAGGGUUAGCAGAACCAUCCACCAACAUAAGUUUCCCAUUGGUCACUGUACACUUGGAAAAGGGCGACCUAUCUACUGCUCUUGAGGUCGCCAUUGACUGCUAUGAAAAGUAUAAAGUAUUACCAAGGAUUCAUGAUGUCUUGUGUAAACUGGUAGAGAAUGGCGAGACUGAUCUAAUUCAGAAAGCAAUGGACUUUGUGAGCCAAGAACAAGGUGAAAUGGUGAUGCUCUAUGAUCUCUUCUUUGCCUUCCUACAAACAGGAAAUUACAAAGAGGCCAAGAAGAUCAUUGAGACUCCAGGGAUUAGAGCUCGAUCUGCAAGGCUUCAGUGGUUUUGUGACAGAUGUGUUGCAAAUAAUCAGGUUGAAACUCUGGAAAAAUUAGUGGAGCUGACACAGAAGCUAUUUGAAUGUGAUAGAGACCAGAUGUACUACAAUCUGCUAAAACUGUAUAAAAUAAACGGUGACUGGCAAAGAGCUGAUGCUGUCUGGAAUAAAAUCCAAGAAGAAAAUGUUAUUCCUCGUGAAAAGACAUUAAGAUUAUUAGCAGAAAUCCUUAGAGAGGGUAACCAGGAAGUUCCGUUUGACGUACCUGAGUUGUGGUAUGAAGAUGAAAAACAUUCCCUGAAUUCUUCGUCAGCCUCAACCACAGAACCUGAUUUCCAGAAAGAUAUAUUGAUUGCCUGCCGAUUGAACCAAAAAAAAGGGGCAUAUGAUAUUUUCCUGAAUGCAAAAGAGCAAAACAUUGUGUUUAAUGCUGAAACCUACAGCAAUCUCGUUAAAUUACUGAUGUCAGAAGAUUAUUUUACACAAGCAAUGGAAGUGAAAGCAUUCGCGGAGACCCACAUCAAGGGCUUCACACUGAACGAUGCUGCCAACAGCCGCCUCAUCAUAACGCAAGUUAGGCGGGAUUAUUUGAAAGAGGCUGUGACAACACUGAAAACAGUAUUGGAUCAGCAGCAGACCCCUUCUAGGUUAGCAGUGACCCGUGUCGUCCAGGCAUUGGCCAUGAAGGGUGAUGUUGAAAACAUAGAAGUAGUUCAGAAGAUGUUAAAUGGACUCGAAGACUCCAUUGGACUUUCAAAAAUGGUUUUCAUCAAUAACAUUGCUUUGGCACAAAUAAAGAACAAUAACAUAGAUGCCGCAAUAGAAAACAUUGAAAAUAUGCUUACUUCAGAGAAUAAAGUCAUUGAACCCCAAUACUUCGGCUUGGCAUACUUAUUCAGAAAAGUAAUAGAGGAGCAGUUGGAACCAGCAGUUGAAAAGAUAAGCAUCAUGGCAGAGAGAUUGGCCAAUCAGUUUGCAAUUUAUAAACCUGUCACUGAUUUUUUCCUUCAACUUGUGGAUGCAGGCAAGGUGGAUGAUGCCAGAGCUCUCCUACAGAGAUGUGGUGCAAUUGCUGAACAAACCCCGAUUUUGUUGUUGUUCCUCCUUAGGAAUUCUAGGAAACAAGGAAAGGACCUUAUUUGAGAAUACUAUAGAGAUUCAAGACUUUGCUUGUCUCUACUUAGAGUGAGUUUUGUCGUCUGUUAGCUGUACUGGAAAUGUAAAACAAGUUCAUGCAGGAAUUUUCCACUUACACAGGUCACCUUGGGACAUUUAACAAUGCAGAAGCACUGCCAAGGGAAAUGUACACUCCAGAGUGUCUCCUAGCACGUGGCUACUUUUGAGCAUUUAUCAGGUAUAAACCAUCAGGUAAAUGAGCCACUUGGCUUUCAAAUUGAUAUGGAGCCACAAAUUAAUUCUAAUUUGUGCAGUUACUUUAUUUACACUGUAAAAGGGGUGGGUGGGUAUGUAAUAGAACCAAGUCCUUUUGAAAAAAAUUUUUUUAAAAAAAUUUCUGUGGGUACAUAGUAGAUAUGUCACAUUCUACUUUGAUGUUUAACCGUAAGUGUAAAAUUAAAUUUCUCUUAGAUUGGAUUUUACCUCUUGUAUACCAGAAACUACAUUCUUAGUUCAUUUGGGUUCUUUAUGAAGUUUCAAACCACAUGCCAACUGUGAUGCUUGUUUUAUUUGAAACAUUUAGGCUGUGUCCAGUUUGGGAGGUCUACGUUUUCCUGAAUUUCUACACCCUUCCCCUAGAUAUACCUACACUUUUAAAAAAUUUGCCUCAUUGCGUCUGUGACUCACGUAUUUAUUUACUACAAACAACUUUUAGAAAAUAUUUAAUUGCCCCUUCUUUCCUUUCAGAGAGGCUGCGUUUUUAUAUGUGUGAUUAAAAAGUAUAAGGAAUCUGAAAAGCACUUGUCAGUCCACCUGUGGGACUGUGCCAAGUCCCUGUUGCCUUGUCCAGGAGAUGGGACGGGAAAUGCAUGGCAAUAUGUCUGCUUAGAACAUUCCACCCAGGACAGUUUAAAAUAGAAGAAGCCCUGGGAGGAUGCAGGUCCAGGUGUGGAUUGACUGAAUAAACAUGCUAUAGAAAGGAGUUAGGAUUUUUAAGAUGCCUAUUAACAGUGUUCCAUUGUUUGACAGUACAAUAGUUAAGCCAGAUUUUGCUCCUCUUGGUGAGAUGGGAAGAGGGCAUAGAUGUUUAUAUAUCCAUCAUGGAUUUAUCCAGCAACGUUGGAGUAGGGCGGGAAAUACUCAGCAGAUAUUCAUUACGGCAUAGCAGUUCUGUAUUCACUCGCUACAGGAAAUAAAGCCAUAGCCGAGUCUGCAUAUUCCUGGAAGAAAUAAGUAAAAAUUUCAGUGAGAUUCUGGAAAUGCUCUUUUUUGUAUGUCAAGUGGGUAACACUUCAGAAUGUUUUAACUGAAUUCUUUACAAUUUCAUCAACCAGUUGUGGCACCUAAAGAUAGGGUUGUUAUCUCUCUACCCUUGGGAUCUCAUAACUUCUUGGUAUGGUCACCACUUGACAAAAGAAGCAAUGUGUUUAUCAUAUUCUAGAAAAAUAUUCAUAGAAAUGUAAGUGGAAUUGCAUUAACCUGUGAAAAAUGCUGGUUUGUUUUAGCUGUAGAUUAUUGAGUCAAUAUCAAAUGCUAAUAUACAGGGGACAAUAGUGCAUUAAAUUGAAUAGGUAGUUCUGUUACAAUUAUUGUGAAAAUUUUUAAUAUAGUGUUGAUUUGUCAGUGUUCUAAUUCACUGUUAAUUUGCAGUUUUCAUAAUAUUACCUUUAUGUAAUUUCCUAGGCAUCAACUGUGAAAUCUGUGUUAGAAUUGAUUCCUGAAUUAAAUGAAAAGGAAGAAGCAUACAAUUCCCUCAUGAAAAGCUAUG
RNA transcript from Pan troglodytes (chimpanzee), 5730 nucleotides. It is a transcript of the gene named leucine rich pentatricopeptide repeat containing, with no coding region annotated. The transcript has 37 exons. NCBI's taxonomy places the organism in Eukaryota, Metazoa, Chordata, Mammalia, Primates, Hominidae. The record is from RefSeq and is a predicted model, not a curated record.